This 51-nucleotide ribosomal RNA is filed under the name uncultured fungus. Its description in RNAcentral is "partial 18S ribosomal RNA". Lineage: Eukaryota; Fungi. The record is from RNAcentral.
UUGUCUUAAGAAGUAAAGUGACAAGUUCCGUAGUGACCUGGGAAGAUCAUA